GGGUUCCUGUCCAACGUUAAUCGGGGCAGGGUGAGUCGACCCCUAAGGCGAGGCCGAAAGGCGUAGUCGAUGGGAAACAGGUUAAUAUUCCUGUACUUGGUGUUACUGCGAAGGGGGGACGGAGAAGGCUAUGUUGGCCGGGCGACGGUUGUCCCGGUUUAAGCGUGUAGGCUGGUUUUCCAGGCAAAUCCGGAAAAUCAAGGCUGAGGCGUGAUGACGAGGCACUACGGUGCUGAAGCAACAAAUGCCCUGCUUCCAGGAAAAGCCUCUAAGCAUCAGGUAACAUCAAAUCGUACCCCAAACCGACACAGGUGGUCAGGUAGAGAAUACCAAGGCGCUUGAGAGAACUCGGGUGAAGGAACUAGGCAAAAUGGUGCCGUAACUUCGGGAGAAGGCACGCUGAUAUGUAGGUGAUGGAGCUGAAAUCAGUCGAAGAUACCAGCUGGCUGCAACUGUUUAUUAAAAACACAGCACUGUGCAAACACGAAAGUGGACGUAUACGGUGUGACGCCUGCCCGGUGCCGGAAGGUUAAUUGAUGGGGUUAGCGCAAGCGAAGCUCUUGAUCGAAGCCCCGGUAAACGGCGGCCGUAACUAUAACGGUCCUAAGGUAGCGAAAUUCCUUGUCGGGUAAGUUCCGACCUGCACGAAUGGCGUAAUGAUGGCCAGGCUGUCUCCACCCGAGACUCAGUGAAAUUGAACUCGCUGUGAAGAUGCAGUGUACCCGCGGCAAGACGGAAAGACCCCGUGAACCUUUACUAUAGCUUGACACUGAACAUUGAGCCUUGAUGUGUAGGAUAGGUGGGAGGCUUUGAAGUGUGGACGCCAGUCUGCAUGGAGCCGACCUUGAAAUACCACCCUUUAAUGUUUGAUGUUCUAACGUUGACCCGUAAUCCGGGUUGCGGACAGUGUCUGGUGGGUAGUUUGACUGGGGCGGUCUCCUCCUAAAGAGUAACGGAGGAGCACGAAGGUUGGCUAAUCCUGGUCGGACAUCAGGAGGUUAGUGCAAUGGCAUAAGCCAGCUUGACUGCGAGCGUGACGGCGCGAGCAGGUGCGAAAGCAGGUCAUAGUGAUCCGGUGGUUCUGAAUGGAAGGGCCAUCGCUCAACGGAUAAAAGGUACUCCGGGGAUAACAGGCUGAUACCGCCCAAGAGUUCAUAUCGACGGCGGUGUUUGGCACCUCGAUGUCGGCUCAUCACAUCCUGGGGCUGAAGUAGGUCCCAAGGGUAUGGCUGUUCGCCAUUUAAAGUGGUACGCGAGCUGGGUUUAGAACGUCGUGAGACAGUUCGGUCCCUAUCUGCCGUGGGCGCUGGAGAACUGAGGGGGGCUGCUCCUAGUACGAGAGGACCGGAGUGGACGCAUCACUGGUGUUCGGGUUGUCAUGCCAAUGGCACUGCCCGGUAGCUAAAUGCGGAAGAGAUAAGUGC
RNAcentral lists this ribosomal RNA (1424 nucleotides) under uncultured bacterium. RNAcentral describes it as "bacterial LSU rRNA". It matches the Rfam family "Bacterial large subunit ribosomal RNA", at positions 1349 to 2771 of the family's 2925-position model. The record is from RNAcentral.